GAGUUUGAUCGUGGCUCAGAUUGAACGCUGGCGGCAUGCCUUACACAUGCAAGUCGAACGGCAGCACGGGAGCUUGCUCCUGGUGGCGAGUGGCGAACGGGUGAGUAAUGCAUCGGAACGUAUCCUGGAGUGGGGGAUAACGUAGCGAAAGUUACGCUAAUACCGCAUAUUCUGUGAGCAGGAAAGCGGGGGACCUUCGGGCCUCGCGCUCUUGGAGCGGCCGAUGUCGGAUUAGCUAGUUGGUGAGGUAAAGGCUCACCAAGGCGACGAUCCGUAGCAGGUCUGAGAGGAUGAUCUGCCACACUGGAACUGAGACACGGUCCAGACUCCUACGGGAGGCAGCAGUGGGGAAUUUUGGACGAAUGGGGGCAACCCUGAUCCAGCCAUGCCGCGUGAGUGAAGAAGGCCUCGGUGUAAG
RNAcentral lists this ribosomal RNA (418 nucleotides) under bacterium enrichment culture clone ALO1_GLFRUDD03FXZT0. RNAcentral describes it as "bacterial SSU rRNA". It matches the Rfam family "Bacterial small subunit ribosomal RNA", at positions 9 to 429 of the family's 1533-position model. The record is from RNAcentral.